AGAGUUUGAUCAUGGCUCAGCCUGAACGCUGGCGGCGUGGCUAAGACAUGCAAGUCGCACGGACGUAGCAAUACGUUAGUGGCGAACGGGUGAGUAAUGAAUCGCUAAUGUGCCCCGGACUCUGGGAUAGCCGGCCGAAAGGCUGGGUAAUACCAGAUGAUAUGCAGCUGUCGCAUGACAGUUGCCUCAAAGGUCCGCCGGUCUGGGAGCAGGCGAUUUUGUAUCAGCUUGUUGGUGAGGUAACGGCUCACCAAGGCGACGACGCAUAGCCGGACUGAGAGGUUGGCCGGCCACAUUGGGACUGAGACACUGCCCAGACUCCUACGGGGGGCUGCAGUAACGAAUCUUCCGCAAUGUACGAAAGUAUGACGGAGCGACGCCGCGUGUAGGACGAAGCCCUUCGGGGUGUAAACUACUGUCAGGGGUUAGAAAGUUCUGAUCAACCCCAGAGGAAGGGACGGCUAACUCUGUGCCAGCAGCCGCGGUAAGACAGAGGUCCCGAGCGUUAGGCGGAAUCACUGGGCUUAAAGCGUGUGUAGGCGGACUUCUAAGUACCUUGUGAAAUCCCACGGCUUAACCGUGGAACUGCUUGGUAUACUGGUUGUCUUGGGCCAUCUAGGGGCUACCGGAACAAACGGUGGAGCGGUGAAAUGCGUAGAUAUCGUUUGGAACGCCAAUGGUGAAAACAGGUAGCUGGGGAUGUGCCGACGCUGAGACACGAAAGCCAGGGGAGCGAACGGGAUUAGAUACCCUAGUAGUCC
This 761-nucleotide ribosomal RNA is filed under the name uncultured bacterium. Its description in RNAcentral is "bacterial SSU rRNA". It matches the Rfam family "Bacterial small subunit ribosomal RNA", at positions 8 to 796 of the family's 1533-position model. The record is from RNAcentral.